Molecule: long non-coding RNA, 633 nt
Filed under: Phoenix dactylifera (date palm)
Lineage: Eukaryota; Viridiplantae; Streptophyta; Magnoliopsida; Arecales; Arecaceae
Description: long non-coding RNA (PDAC_LNC020291)
Source: RNAcentral
CAACUCUGUAUACCAUUUCUUUUCCUACUCUUCUGUUGGUUGAUUUGUUCAUUAAAUAUUGCACUUUAUUCUUUUAUUGACAGCUUUUGAAUUUAUAUGUUAAGGCCAUUUUCUCCAGAAGGUUGUGAUGAUUCUUGGACCCGGGUUUUGCUAUGAAAGGAAAGCGGCUAUUUUCUUGACGACGAGGCAAUCUUGGAUUUGGCAUUCUUGGCUGUUUGUGGGACUCCGUUUAAUUUGGUUCUGGUGGUUAUGUUCUAUAUUGUUUCGAUGUGCUCUCUCUCCCUCUUUUCAAUUGUUAAUGUUCUGGCUUGUGAAAUGAUCUCUGACAUGCUAAAUUCAUGGGAAAUCCUAAACCAUUAAGCUUAAAAGGUUGCUAUUUAGGAUUUCUCCGGAGGCUUAUUUCGUUAAAUGCUAAGACUAGUUCUCUGGUUCUUCAUAUAAAGAGUUUGGAUUAUUUUAUUGCUUCUAUAUCUCUCAUCCUACUUGGUUGUUGUGCAUAAAUUUGUGCUGGUUGUUGUUUCGGUUGGCUGCCAUUGCUUGCUCCAUUUGAUGACAUGUGAAUGAUGGUCAUCAAGUUCUGGGCAAACUUUUUUUGGGUCUGUUAGUCUUGGUGAUGCAAUUGGUUGUCCACCC